ACCACCUUCAGCUGAGUGUAGUGCCCUACUUGAGAGGGUGUCAUUCACAUAGACUGGAGCAUGAUUGUCACCUUUUUGAGUAGAGUAAUGCAUAUUAUAUACAAUAUAUGUGGUGGC
RNAcentral lists this microRNA precursor (117 nucleotides) under Mustela putorius furo (domestic ferret). The record is from RNAcentral. Lineage: Eukaryota; Metazoa; Chordata; Mammalia; Carnivora; Mustelidae.